UAAAAGAUAAGCUAAUAAAGCUAUUGGGUUCAUACCCCACAUAUGAAAGUAAAAUCCUUCUCUUUUAA
Molecule: transfer RNA, 68 nt
Filed under: Thoradonta nodulosa
Lineage: Eukaryota; Metazoa; Arthropoda; Insecta; Orthoptera; Tetrigidae
Also listed under: 1 other name
Description: tRNA-Met
Rfam family: tRNA
About the family: Transfer RNA (tRNA) molecules are approximately 80 nucleotides in length. Their secondary structure includes four short double-helical elements and three loops (D, anti-codon, and T loops).
Source: RNAcentral